Non-coding RNA from Nasonia vitripennis (jewel wasp), 47 nucleotides. The record is from Rfam. Lineage: Eukaryota; Metazoa; Arthropoda; Insecta; Hymenoptera; Pteromalidae.
CAAUCGGCCCUUUUCAGGGCCACCAAAUUCUCACAACGUAGAAUACG